This 744-nucleotide ribosomal RNA is filed under the name uncultured bacterium. RNAcentral's name for it is "bacterial SSU rRNA". It matches the Rfam family "Bacterial small subunit ribosomal RNA", at positions 8 to 796 of the family's 1533-position model. The record is from RNAcentral.
AGAGUUUGAUCCUGGCUCAGAGCGAACGCUGGCGGCAGGCUUAACACAUGCAAGUCGAGCGGGCGUAGCAAUACGUCAGCGGCAGACGGGUGAGUAACGCGUGGGAACAUACCUUUUGGUUCGGAACAACACAGGGAAACUUGUGCUAAUACCGGAUAAGCCCUUACGGGGAAAGAUUUAUCGCCGAAAGAUUGGCCCGCGUCUGAUUAGCUAGUUGGUGAGGUAACGGCUCACCAAGGCGACGAUCAGUAGCUGGUCUGAGAGGAUGAUCAGCCACAUUGGGACUGAGACACGGCCCAAACUCCUACGGGAGGCAGCAGUGGGGAAUAUUGGACAAUGGGCGCAAGCCUGAUCCAGCCAUGCCGCGUGAGUGAUGAAGGCCCUAGGGUUGUAAAGCUCUUUUGUGCGGGAAGAUAAUGACGGUACCGCAAGAAUAAGCCCCGGCUAACUUCGUGCCAGCAGCCGCGGUAAUACGAAGGGGGCUAGCGUUGCUCGGAAUCACUGGGCGUAAAGGGUGCGUAGGCGGGUCUUUAAGUCAGGGGUGAAAUCCUGGAGCUCAACUCCAGAACUGCCUUUGAUACUGAGGAUCUUGAGUUCGGGAGAGGUGAGUGGAACUGCGAGUGUAGAGGUGAAAUUCGUAGAUAUUCGCAAGAACACCAGUGGCGAAGGCGGCUCACUGGCCCGAUACUGACGCUGAGGCACGAAAGCGUGGGGAGCAAACAGGAUUAGAUACCCCCGUAGUCC